RNAcentral lists this ribosomal RNA (495 nucleotides) under uncultured bacterium. RNAcentral's name for it is "bacterial SSU rRNA". It matches the Rfam family "Bacterial small subunit ribosomal RNA", at positions 28 to 523 of the family's 1533-position model. The record is from RNAcentral.
GAUGAACGCUAGCGGGAGGCCUAAUACAUGCAAGUCGAACGGUAACAGGUAGCAAUACGCUGACGAGUGGCGCACGGGUGCGUAACGCGUACACAAUCUGCCUUAUACUGGGGCAUAGCCUUUGGAAACGAAGAAUAAUUCCCCAUAACAUAUAGAAGAGGCAUCUCUUUUAUAUUAAAGCUCAGGCGGUAUAAGAUGAGUGUGCGUCCGAUUAGGUAGUUGGUGAGGUAACGGCUCACCAAGCCAACGAUCGGUAGCUGGUCUGAGAGGAUGAUCAGCCACACGGGCACUGAGACACGGGCCCGACUCCUACGGGAGGCAGCAGUAGGGAAUAUUGGACAAUGGGCGCAAGCCUGAUCCAGCCAUCCCGCGUGAAGGAUGAAGGUCCUCUGGAUUGUAAACUUCUUUUCUUCGGGAUAAAACUAGGGGUUCUCCUCAGCUUGAAGGUACCGAAGGAAUAAGCACCGGCUAACUCCGUGCCAGCAGCCGCGGUAA